UCCCUUGUGGCUCAGCUGGUAAAGAAUCUGCCUGCGAUGCAGGAGACAUGGGUUUGAUCCCUGGCAUGGGAA
Molecule: non-coding RNA, 72 nt
Organism: Bos taurus (domestic cattle)
Lineage: Eukaryota; Metazoa; Chordata; Mammalia; Artiodactyla; Bovidae
Source: Rfam